This 253-nucleotide ribosomal RNA is filed under the name uncultured bacterium. RNAcentral's name for it is "partial 16S ribosomal RNA". It matches the Rfam family "Bacterial small subunit ribosomal RNA", at positions 524 to 776 of the family's 1533-position model. The record is from RNAcentral.
GACGAACCACCCAAACGUUAUUCGGAAUUACUGGGCUUAAAGCGUGCGUAGGCGGCCAUGUAAGUAGGAUGUGAAAUCCCACAGCUCAACUGUGGAACUGCGCUCUAAACUACAUGGCUAGAGGGAUAUAGAGGUGAGCGGAACUGAUGGUGGAGCGGUGAAAUGCGUUGAUAUCAUCAGGAACACCGGAGGCGAAGGCGGCUCACUGGGUAUCUUCUGACGCUGAGGUACGAAAGCUAGGGGAGCGAACGGG